CAAUAGCGUAUAUUAAAGUUGUUGCAGUUAAAAAGCUCGUAGUUGGAUUUGUGGCGUACGGUGUGUUCCGGGCACUUGUUGUCUGAGUAACCUGCUGUUGCCAUCCUUGGGUGGAACCUGUGUGGCAUUAGGUUGUCGUGCAGGGGAUGCCCAUCAUUUACUGUGAAAAAAUUAGAGUGUUCAAAGCAGGCUUAUGCCAUUGAAUAUAUUAGCAUGGAAUAAUGAGAUAGGACUUUUUUGCUAUUUUGUUGGUUUGCGCAAAGAGGUAAUGAUUAAUAGGGACAGUUGGGGGUAUUCGUAUUCCAUUGUCAGAGGUGAAAUUCUUGGAUUUUUGGAAGACGAACUACUGCGAAAGCAUUUACCAAGGAUGUUUUCAUUAA
Molecule: ribosomal RNA, 380 nt
Filed under: uncultured eukaryote
Lineage: Eukaryota
Description: partial 18S ribosomal RNA
Rfam family: Eukaryotic small subunit ribosomal RNA
Source: RNAcentral